Molecule: ribosomal RNA, 460 nt
Filed under: uncultured bacterium
Lineage: Bacteria
Description: partial 16S ribosomal RNA
Rfam family: Bacterial small subunit ribosomal RNA
Source: RNAcentral
CCUACGGGUGGCAGCAGUGAGGAAUAUUGGUCAAUGGACGAGAGUCUGAACCAGCCAAGUAGCGUGAAGGAUGACUGCCCUAUGGGUUGUAAACUUUUUUUAUAUGGGAAUAAAAUGUUCCACGUGUGGGAUUUUGUAUGUACCAUAUGAAUAAGGCUCGGCUAACUCCGUGCCAGCAGCCGCGGUAAUACGGAGGAUCCGAGAGUUAUCCGGAUUUAUUGGGGUUAAAGGGAGCGUAGGUGGAUUGGUAAGUCAGUUGUGAAAGUUUGCGGCUCAACCGUAAAAUUGCAGUUGAAACUGGCAGUCUUGAGUACAGGAGAGGUGGGCGGAAUUCGUGGUGUAGCGGUGAAAUGCUUAGAUAUCACGAAGAACUCCGAUUGCGAAGGCAGUUCACUGGACUGCAACUGACACUGAGGCUCGAAAGUGUGGGUAUCAAACAGGAUUAGAUACCCCUGUAGUC